RNAcentral lists this ribosomal RNA (301 nucleotides) under uncultured bacterium. Its description in RNAcentral is "partial 16S ribosomal RNA". It matches the Rfam family "Bacterial small subunit ribosomal RNA", at positions 509 to 807 of the family's 1533-position model. The record is from RNAcentral.
CAGUCGCCGCGGUAAUCCGAGGGGUGCAAGCGUUACUCGGAAUUACUGGGCGUAAAGCGUGCGUAGGUGGUGGUUUAAGUCCGUUGUGAAAGCCCUGGGCUCAACCUGGGAAUUGCAGUGGAUACUGGGUCACUAGAGUGUGGUAGAGGAUAGUGGAAUUUCCGGUGUAGCAGUGAAAUGCGUAGAGAUCGGAAGGAACAUCUGUGGCGAAGGCGACUAUCUGGGCCAACACUGACACUGAGGCACGAAAGCGUGGGGAGCAAACAGGAUUAGAUACCCCUGUAGUCCCUGUCUCUUAUAC